ACGGUAAACCCAAGUGGAAGAAAACAGACUCCGAGAAAAAUCAGGGCAUCCACGCAACAGGAGGGGGCACUGGUGUCGCACCCGCUGAACAAUGAGCCCGACCCUCCAUCUUGUGGGGGCACUGGUGUCCCACAUGGCAAUGUGGCUGCCAAGCCCGUACAACAGUGGCAGCGCCCGCGCUGGUUGGCCGGUGCUCUCAAUGCUGCCAGCCGCCAUUCCCGAAGCCACAGUGAACGAGCAUGACGACUGGCAUGAUGCCUGAUUCACCUGCCUCACCGCUGCUGGACUGGG
RNAcentral lists this long non-coding RNA (291 nucleotides) under Ixodes scapularis (black-legged tick). RNAcentral describes it as "uncharacterized LOC121834057". Lineage: Eukaryota; Metazoa; Arthropoda; Arachnida; Ixodida; Ixodidae. The record is from RNAcentral.